CGAAAGCCUGACGGAGCAAUACCGCGUGAGGGAGGAAGGCUUUUGGGUUGUAAACCUCUUUUCCCAAGGAAGAAAAAAAUGACGGUACUUGAGGAAUCAGCAUCGGCUAACUCCGUGCCAGCAGCCGCGGUAAUACGGAGGAUGCAAGCGUUAUUCGGAAUUAUUGGGCGUAAAGCGUCCGCAGGUGGUGCCUCAAGUCUGCUGUCAAAGACCGAAGCUUAACUUCGGGCAGGCGGUGGAAACUGAAGCACUAGAGUACGGUAGGGGUAGAGGGAAUUUCCAGUGUAGCGGUGAAAUGCGUAGAGAUUGGAAAGAACACCAGUGGCGAAGGCGCUCUACUGGACCGUAACUGACACUCAGGGACGAAAGCUAGGGUAGCG
RNAcentral lists this ribosomal RNA (380 nucleotides) under uncultured cyanobacterium. RNAcentral describes it as "bacterial SSU rRNA". It matches the Rfam family "Bacterial small subunit ribosomal RNA", at positions 376 to 770 of the family's 1533-position model. The record is from RNAcentral. Lineage: Bacteria; Bacillati; Cyanobacteriota.